RNAcentral lists this ribosomal RNA (563 nucleotides) under uncultured Desulfuromonas sp. Its description in RNAcentral is "bacterial SSU rRNA". It matches the Rfam family "Bacterial small subunit ribosomal RNA", at positions 363 to 916 of the family's 1533-position model. Lineage: Bacteria; Pseudomonadati; Thermodesulfobacteriota; Desulfuromonadia; Desulfuromonadales; Desulfuromonadaceae. The record is from RNAcentral.
UUUGCGCAAUGGGCGAAAGCCUGACGCAGCAACGCCGCGUGAGUGAUGAAGGCUUUCGGGUCGUAAAGCUCUGUCAGAGGGGAAGAAACCCCUGCAGGUUAAUAUCCUGCAGGCUUGACGGUACCCUCAAAGGAAGCACCGGCUAGCUCCGUGCCAGCAGCCGCGGUAAUACGGAGGGUGCAAGCGUUGUUCGGAAUUAUUGGGCGUAAAGCGCGUGUAGGCGGCUUGCUAAGUCUGAUGUGAAAGCCCUGGGCUCAACCCAGGAAGUGCAUUGGAAACUGGUCGGCUUGAGUACGGGAGAGGGUAGUGGAAUUCCGAGUGUAGGGGUGAAAUCCGUAGAUAUUCGGAGGAACACCGGUGGCGAAGGCGGCUACCUGGACCGAUACUGACGCUGAGACGCGAAAGCGUGGGGAGCAAACAGGAUUAGAUACCCUGGUAGUCCACGCCGUAAACGAUGGGUACUAGGUGUCGCGGGUAUUGACCCCUGCGGUGCCGAAGCUAACGCAUUAAGUACCCCGCCUGGGGAGUACGGCCGCAAGGCUAAAACUCAAAGGAAUUGACGG